This 440-nucleotide ribosomal RNA is filed under the name uncultured bacterium. Its description in RNAcentral is "bacterial SSU rRNA". It matches the Rfam family "Bacterial small subunit ribosomal RNA", at positions 338 to 770 of the family's 1533-position model. The record is from RNAcentral.
CCUACGGGAGGCUGCAGUAGGGAAUCUUCCGCAAUGGACGAAAGUCUGACGGAGCAACGCCGCGUGAACGAUGAAGGCCUUCGGGUCGUAAAGUUCUGUUGUUAGGGAAGAACAAGUAUCGGAGUAACUGCCGGUACCUUGACGGUACCUAACCAGAAAGCCACGGCUAACUACGUGCCAGCAGCCGCGGUAAUACGUAGGUGGCAAGCGUUAUCCGGAAUUAUUGGGCGUAAAGCGCGCGCAGGCGGUCUCUUAAGUCUGAUGUGAAAGCCCCCGGCUCAACCGGGGAGGGUCAUUGGAAACUGGGAGACUUGAGUGCAGAAGAGAAGAGCGGAAUUCCACGUGUAGCGGUGAAAUGCGUAGAGAUGUGGAGGAACACCAGUGGCGAAGGCGGCUCUUUGGUCUGUAACUGACGCUGAGGCGCGAAAGCGUGGGGAGCG